GUUUCUUACCGGGUAGGAGGAGACUUCAAAAUCACCCUGGGGCUUUUUAAACAGAGCAAUUACUUGAGCUUGAGAGUUCUGGGCUGCAGUGUGCUAUGCCAGUUGGGUGUCUGCAUCAAUAUGGGGACCCCCCCCCCACUGCCACCAAAAGCAGGGGACCCAUCAGGUUGCCUAAGGAGGAGUGAACUGGCCCAGGUCAGAAAUGGAGCAGGUCAAAACUCCUGCACGGAUCAGUAGUGCGACUGCACCUGUGACUAGCCACUGCAUCCCAGCCUGGGCAACAUCGUGAGACCCUGUCUCA
Molecule: signal recognition particle RNA, 301 nt
Filed under: Cercocebus atys (sooty mangabey)
Lineage: Eukaryota; Metazoa; Chordata; Mammalia; Primates; Cercopithecidae
Description: Metazoan signal recognition particle RNA (ENSCATG00000021590.1)
Rfam family: Metazoan signal recognition particle RNA (bases 51-297)
About the family: The signal recognition particle (SRP) is a universally conserved ribonucleoprotein. It is involved in the co-translational targeting of proteins to membranes. The eukaryotic SRP consists of a 300-nucleotide 7S RNA and six proteins: SRPs 72, 68, 54, 19, 14, and 9.
Source: RNAcentral